This 86-nucleotide microRNA precursor is filed under the name Podarcis lilfordi (Lilford's wall lizard). The record is from RNAcentral. Lineage: Eukaryota; Metazoa; Chordata; Lepidosauria; Squamata; Lacertidae.
AGAUGUUCUGGGACUACAAUUCCCAGCAUCCCUGACCACUGGUCCUGUUAGCUAGGGAUGAUGGGAGUUGUAGUCCCAAAACAUCU